AUGGAGGAGGGUGAUCCCAUUGAAGCUUCAGACUCAGAUAAUGAGGAUGGAGGAGGUUCAAGUGAUGAUGGUGAAGGCAUUGUUCGCACUAGGGGGCUUCUGCUUAAUGAGAGAGAGGAUUUUCAGCUACAAGUGCUGCUACCUUUCAGUGAUGAUUUCAUCGGGUUUGCUUUUGUUCACCGCCUCACAAGGACAAACAUUUGCUUGGGCAUGAUGAAAAUACCCAAGAAAGUUGCUGCUGCCACGCUGUUUGAAGAACAGGGGGUUGUUGGUAUUUCUGUGGAUGGUGGGAGAUUCAAAAAAGUCUCAUACAAAACUGCUGAUGAUGGCCGCAUUGUGUUUGACAGCAAGAAGUGGAAAGACUUCGCAGCUAGCAGAGGACUCAAAGUCAACACAACUGUUCUUAUUGGCUUCAAGAGCAGCGAGAGGGAUGAUGUCCAUGUCCUGGUUAUCUUGAAGAAGCUUGGCUAG
Molecule: ribosomal RNA, 471 nt
Filed under: Triticum aestivum (bread wheat)
Lineage: Eukaryota; Viridiplantae; Streptophyta; Magnoliopsida; Poales; Poaceae
Description: partial small subunit ribosomal RNA
Source: RNAcentral